Molecule: small nucleolar RNA, 135 nt
Organism: Peromyscus maniculatus bairdii (prairie deer mouse)
Lineage: Eukaryota; Metazoa; Chordata; Mammalia; Rodentia; Cricetidae
Gene: SNORA70
Rfam family: Small nucleolar RNA SNORA70
About the family: snoRNA U70 seems to be exclusive to mammals and is a member of the H/ACA class of snoRNA which contain H (ANANNA) and ACA box motifs. H/ACA box snoRNAs are involved in the conversion of uridines to pseudouridines (5-ribosyluracil) a constituent of structural RNAs (transfer, ribosomal, small nuclear, and small nucleolar).
Source: Ensembl
UUGCAGCUACUUAAGCUGACGGGGUCUCUUUCCCCAUGGGGGCCCGGUGUGCAAUGGUAGCCAACAGCAGCGUCCUUGGUAGUGUUUGCAGUCUGUAGCCUAUAUGGGCUGCCCCCAGGGACCUUGGAGACGAUU